GUGGGGAAUAUUGCACAAUGGAGGAAACUCUGAUGCAGCGACGCCGCGUGAGUGAUGAAGGCCUUCGGGUCGUAAAGCUCUGUCGCAGGGGAAUAACACAAUGAAGGUACCCUGUAAGAAAGGAUCGGCUAACUUCGUGCCAGCAGCCGCGGUAAGACGAGGGAUCCUAGCGUUGUUCGGAAUCAUUGGGCGUAAAGCGGAUGUAGGUGGCUAUGUAAGUCAGAUGUGAAAGCCUGGGGCUCAACCCCAGAAGUGCAUUUGAUACUGCGUAGCUUGAGUGUCGGAGAGGUUACUAGAAUUGUUGGUGUAGUGGUGAAAUACGUAGAUAUCAACAGGAAUACCGGAGGCGAAGGCGGGUAACUGGCCGAACACUGACACUGAGAUCCGAAAGCGUGGGGAUCAAACAGGAUUAGAAACCCUUGUAGUCC
Molecule: ribosomal RNA, 428 nt
Filed under: uncultured bacterium
Lineage: Bacteria
Description: partial 16S ribosomal RNA
Rfam family: Bacterial small subunit ribosomal RNA
Source: RNAcentral